UUUUUUUUUUUUUUUAUAAAUCUCCUAAGUACUUAUUGGUAAUGGCAUCUAGUUGAAGCUGAUAGGCUGUUUUAAACUCUCUCAGAACUUGCGGAAGGGGCAAUUUUUUGGACUUCAAAAGAUUGGGGCAAAGAAAAUACCAGAACACACAAGAUGCCACAAACAAACAGAAAUUGGAAAAGCAAAAGCUAUGCUUCUACUGGCAUGCUUACCUAAGUCUCCACCUUGUAGGAAUAAGUGAGGAUGAUUGCAGUAUAUUGUUUAUUUCUUGUGAUUCUUUGGUUAUCAAAAGAUGACAGGUCAUUCGAUGUAGAGAAAUGGAAGAAAUAACUGCAUUUAUCAAAGGAGCUGUAUCUGAUGGUCAAUGCCUCGGAAAAUGUCUUUAUAUUCAUGGAGUUCCUGGAACUGGGAAGGUAAGAUCUAGUAGCUAUUAUUGCAACAACAGUCAUAUUGUUUCUAGACAACACAUUAAAGUUAGCCACAUAAUGGUAUAAACUUAUUCUUGUUGUUGCCAACCAACAGACAAUGACUGUCCUUGCAGUAAUGAGGACCCUAAAAAUCGAAGUUGAUUCUGGGAAUAUCAAGCCUUAUUGCUUCGUUGAGAUCAAUGGUCUAAAGCUAGCCUCACCUGAAAAUAUCUACAGAGUAAGGUUUUUGGCGUUUAAUUUAUUUAGGACAUUCAUCUAUUGCCUGAUGACAUUCUCUUCUUUAAUUAUCUUCAGGUAAUCUAUGAAGCUUUAACUGGACACAGAGUUAGUUGGAAAAAGGCUCUACACUUAUUGAAUGAGCGAUUCUCAAAUGGGACGAAUUGGGAAGAAGAAAAUAACAAGCCUUGCAUCCUACUCAUAGAUGAACUUGAUCUUUUAGUAACCAGAAAUCAAUCGGUAAUUGGCAGGAGAUUUAAGAUUAGCUACGUUAACAUCUGCUUUCUACAAAAUUUAGAAAAUUUUUUCACCCAUAACCACCUUGUUUUUCCUGUCUUGGCUUGUAAAUCACAGGUUUUGUACAACAUUCUUGAUUGGCCUACCAAGCCACAUUCCAAACUAAUUGUGAUAGGUAAACACCCACAUUCUUGAUUGGUUCAACAUGGCAGGCACAAUUUGAUGAUAACAAAAGAAUGGGACUUUAUUUCUGCAUUUUGAAUAUCAUUCCAGGUAUAGCAAAUACCAUGGAUCUUCCUGAAAAGUUGCUUCCACGCAUCUCGAGUCGGAUGGGCAUACAGAGGCUUUGCUUUGGGCCCUAUAACUACCAGCAGCUUCAAGAAAUCAUAUCUAGUCGCCUCAAAGGAAUUGAUGCUUUUGAAAAACCAGCAAUUGAAUUUGCUUCUAGAAAGGUUUUUUUUUUUCUCUUUUUAUAAAUGAAUUAUGUUUAUGUGUACCUCAUAAAGAGUUCACCUGCUUUGAAGCUUUCAUUACUAUUGGUGUUUAUGUUUCUAAAUUUAGGUUGCUGCUGUCUCUGGUGAUGCUCGCCGUGCACUGGAGAUAUGUAGGCGAGCGGCAGAACUUGCAGAUUAUCGCUUAAGAAAAUCACAAUCACUUAAUGAUUCCGCUGGUACAAGUGAGACCUCUUAGAUGUUGCUUUCAUCAAUCUGAAGAUAUUUUAAUUAGAAUGCAUGUCAAUCCAGCAUCGGAUGAAGAAUUGUACCAAUAGAGAAAAAGGAAUACCAACUUAUUGGCUCUUGUGCUUCUCAUUUUCAGUUAAGAAGAAUCUGCAUAAGAAAUACCCUUGAACUAUUUCAUGUAAUUUGGCAAUAAAUCUUUUCCAUUUUUGUUUUCAUCAAAUGAAUCGACAAUUUCUAAGCACUUUACAAUAUCCAGAUAGACUGCUAUGAAUUGCAUGGGCAUGUGCUAUCCCGGUUCAGAAUGAUCCGUGAAAGGACAUAUAUAGUCCAUAUAACCUGUAAUCAGAUCUGAAAAUAAAGCAUUUCAUGGUAGAUUGUGUUGCAAAAAUUUUAUGGCAUGAAAUUCAGUAAUAUUGCUUAUUCUUUCUCUAAUCCAAAAUUGAUGAAGCCAAAGUUUUAGUGUCCUUGAAGUUUCUGCAAGAUAUCAUGGUUAUGCAAGUAUUGCCAUUUUUCAUCUUUCAGCAUUUACUUAUAUCAUCGAGUAUGAGAGGCAAGAUAAGAGCAGGCUGGCCUUCUAUUCAACUUUUGGUAAAUAAAAGAAUUUAAGACAACAAUUUGUGAAAUGAUGGACUUGGUAUUGGCCCACAUAAAGUACUUUCUGACUCCUAUUUUUUAUUUUUACAAUGUUAAUAUUGUAAAGAUUUCUAGAAAUGCUGGCUAAUUCCUUAGAAUGUAGAUGUGUAAAGUUUUAGUUUGGUUACAGAAACUUAUUAGGCUAAAAUGCUGGGAAAAGAGAGUCAACGAUGAAAAAUUUGCUUCAGGAUUUGUGGAGACAUAUAGGAAAAGAAUUUAGACAUUGAUGAAACUUCUGCCUGUUCUACCUCUAUCUAUGUGGCUAGAUAAGUGAAGUGAUGUUUAUAGUACUUGUCGAAAGACCUGGGGACAUUGACAGCACAGUAACAUGGCUGGUAUUAUGUGUAUUUUGUGACACCUUUUCAUCAGAGGCAGGCAAUUUAUUUGAAGAUUAAUAGUGAUAAGUUGCACACUUAGAAUUGGUGAUGUGAUAAUAUUUAGGACAAAAAGACAUCAAUAAUCUCGUUUUCUGCAACAGAUGGCUUUAAGAUAUCAGGUCUGCACCUCUCUUUAGAUAUACCAAAUUGGAUGUCCAAUAGCUUCUUAUGGCAUCUAAGCCUCACAUGAUUUGGUGAACCAUUUGCUACCUGAUGCUGUAGUCAGAAGUACAGUUUUACACUAAAAUCAGUUUCUGUUCUUUUUGAAAGAGAAAAAGUACAGUUUAAUCCACAAUGUGAAAGUAGUAAAAGUACCUGUAGUUACUGCAGUUUUAUUAAUGAUUUUGCAGUUUUAAGUUCUCACGUUUAAGAUAUUUAAAUCCUGCUUAUUUGUUCCACGCCAGAAAAAUGUGGAUUCACAGUUUCUUUGUGAACUUAUCAGGUUUCAAUGAAUCAAAACAGGCACUAAUAUAGGGUUAAGGCAGUCAAUUCAAAAGUUAAACAUAUUUCAUACUAUAAAAUUUGUUUCAAAGUAACUAACCAUUUAGUGACCUUGUUCUCAUGAUCUUGUCGUCUGACAUUUUCUUUCAAGUCAUCCCAAGUAAACCAAUUUGUGGGGCUUUUUGGUAUUACUGCUCAUGCAAACCCUAAUAAGGCUUCUAAGCAUCACAAUGAAGGUUGAUACAUUUACCAUUAGCUGUCAAUUCUUUUGACGAACUUAAAUUUUGUGUAAAUUGAAGAAAGGUAAUUUGCAUCCCUUAAACAUUUAAAAAAAAAAAAUCAAAGCCAUAUCAUCGGGAUAUUUGAAAUGAAGCAAGCGAUGUAUGAAAAGUUAACAAAAAAGUCUUUGUAUGGAGCUGUAAUGACACCAUAUGCUGGUAUUACAGUUUUCCUUUUGAUCUAUCUCUACACCUUCUCGCAACUAGCUAAUGAACUGUUAACAUCGACCACCAGCUUUGUGAAGAUAGAUUCUGUCAGCUAGCAGGUGCCAAAGGAUUAAGUUAACUACCUUACCUUACAGCUUUAUAGCUGUAAGCUUCAGUGAGGACAUUGAAGAACUAAUUAUUGUGAUCUACACUGUCUUUUCUGUUGCACAACAUCUACUGUCCCUUCUUGAUGAUUGAUAUAAUAUACAUACAUAUGUAUAUAUGGUCUUCAUUUAUAGCACCUAAUGAUGAAAAAACUUGGCUUUGCUGAAAUAAGCAGGCAAUUUUACCCCCGUUCCUUUAGAAAUUUUGGGGUUCAGGAUGUACAUUGUGCAUUGUCCCCUGUUCUGCCUGGUAUGCUAAUGUUGGUGAUGAAUAACUAGAACUUCAAAUGUGUAGAAUUCAUUUCAUUAAGAACUAUGCCUGGUCCUUAAAAACUUGUGCUCAGAUGACGAACCUGCAUGAUGCCAUUUGUUCAGGAAGAAGUCUUGUUGGUGUGGCAGAUGUAGAAGCAGCAAUAAAGGAAAUGUUCCAGGCUCCUCAUAUUCAAGUAAGUAUACAACUGUGAAGUAUCACGUGAACACUACUCCAUUACAGUUCUUAGAGGAAUACAUCAGUGAUGUCAAGGAAAUGCUGUGCCGCUGUCUUGAGGGUGGAUCCAAGUAUUUGAUGGUACUAGUUCCCUGACAGGGCUUGAGUAAUCAAGUUAUGGAUACUAAUGAAGUCUGUUUUGAUUGAAAUGCAACUUGAUACAGCUGGCUUAAUAUUAGAUGUGGUCAUAAAAGGCCAAAAUUUUCUUCCUUUUUUUUUUGAGGCUGGGAAGGGAGUUCUGCCUUUGUAUUCUUUAGAUCAUUAAGUGGUCCAUAUUUCUUUGAUGUUCACUUAUUAACUGCAGUUUUCUUUUUAUAGCUAGUCUAUACAUUACUUACUGGAGAACCACCAUAUACACUGCUCAUACAGGCAUUAUUUAUGUAUUGACUUCGUUCGCAGGUAAUGAAAAGUUGUUCCAAACUGAGCAAAAUAUUCUUGGCAGCAAUGGUGCAUGAACUGUACAAAACUGGAAUGGGUGAAACCAGCUUUGAAAAGGUUAUAUGGACCCUUUCAUUCUUUGAUUUUUAUUCUUCUUAGAAUGAUGGUUAUGAAUACAGCAGUACUAGUAUUGUUGUUGUUAGAGUUAAUGUUGUUAUUACUAUCAUUUUUGUAGUCUUACUCCUUGCUGCUGUGCUACCAUCUGAAUGCCUGAGUUAUGCAUCUUCACAUGGUUGCAAGCUGCCAAUUGCUUCCUUGGCACAUACAGCGCUAUCAUAUUUUGUUUGUCUUAUCUAUUACUUUUUCUAUUACCACAAGAUAGUAGAUACAACUUGCUGUUUCUUUGUGAUUUAUUUUUGAUUCCGCCAAACUGUCCUUGGGAUUUCUUUUUCCUUCUUUGUUUUUGGAUGUGGCACCAGGAGUUGGGGAAAGGGGAUGGGGGAUUUAGCUUUUUCGGGCUGUUAGGGUAGCUUGACUAUAUUGUUUGGUAUGAAAUCUGAUAUUCUGCAUCCAGCCUCCAGCUGCUGCUGAGAGGUUGUUGAAUGUUAGUUGAUGCCACAGCAGCAGCUGGAAAGUAAAAGAUUACAUUCAGUGUCAUUCAAAAAUUGAAUCUUCCCAUUUUUAUCAGGUUUUACUGUUUCUGUUUUGUGUUGACUUUUCUUUUAAGUUUUUAAAGAUUUUUUUUAAAUUAUAUUCUGUGGGAGAGGCUAUAAUAUUAUAUUGCUCUUCAGCAUAAUGUCCGUAAAUGCUUGCUGUAUAUGCAGUUGGCAAUGACAGUUUCAUGCCUGUGUACAAGCAACGGUGAAGCAUUUCCAGGAUUUGACACACUCUUUAGAGUUGGGUAAGAUGCGUAAAUAGUUGUAUUUCCUUCAAUCAUGUGAACCAAAGUAUAUUGUCAGCCAUAUUCUUGUAGACCUUGUAUUGAAAUGACUUCAUUUAUGUGCUCAAAGACACGAAAUAAGUGUGACAUUUGUGUCGUUGCCAUGUAUGCACUUACUAAUUAGCAAAGAAGAUUUAGACCGAAUUUGAAGUUCUAAUGUGCCCCAGAGUUAAAGUUGAGGAAUUUUCUUUUCACUCCUUGUGUUUGAUAUUGGAUCUAAAAAGGAUUUCUUUGUUUUUGUUCCUUUCUUCUGUAGUUGAAAAAUCAAAGACCUUUUUUCCGUGUUACCUUGAUCAUUCAGAGGCUUAUUGUUAUUGAUAACAUAAGAGUGUCUCUGUACAUUGCUGGAAUUUGCAUCUUCGUUUCAUUUUAGUGAGCAUCGAAUUCUCCAUUAGAAAAUUAUAGAUGGUGAAAAAACUUGAGCUGACAUGUAGUGAGGUAAUCUAUGUGUGUUGAGUCCAUGUCAGAUGAAUUUAAAACCUAUUUACCUCUAGUGUUUCUAAUAUUGUGGCAGAUGUAAGCUUGGGGAAUGUCGAAUUAUAUUAUGUGAAGCGGGAGUCAGACACAAAUUGCAAAAAUUGCAACUCAAUUUCCCAAGGUCAGUCAUCACCAAGCCCUUUGUUUUAACUGAAUAAUCAUUAUUCCUCUGAGCUUACUUUCCCAACUUUAACAAGUUUCAAUUAACUGCUGUCUGAUACUGUGCUUGUGGCAUCCAGAGGUCUUGAAAAAAAGUGUAAUCCAGUUUUACUAAUUAGGGUGUCUAAGAGCCAAAGGCAGAAAACUUUGUCAGCUUGGUCAAUACUUGUGAUUUUAGUUGAAGACGUAUGUUCAAUGCCACAUCAUUGCAAAUCAAAAUACCGGCCAUCAAAUGGAUAAAUGGAUUGACUGGUGCUGACAUAGGAUAUCAUUUUGUUACCAUUCAGUUAGAUGACUCUCCUGCAUAGCAUCUCUUGAAGCUGGCAAUUGUAGAAAAGAAAUAAAAAUAAAAACCGAAUUUAGGUGUGUGGGAGACUACAUGACAGGUCGACAGUUACGUUGUCUAUGCCUCUGAUUUGAUAUUUAGUUUGUGUAACAAAAAUUUAAGAUGACAAAUAUAAUUGGCCUCAUUCAGGAUGGAACUAGUAUAAUGGUCCAAAGUUUGUGCCUGCAACAUUUCAAUUUUUCAUAUACAAUGAAUAUAUGUGCCUGCAGCAUUCCACUUUUUUGCAUCUGAAUAUUAUGUACAUUGAAACUAGAUUACAGUCCUGAUGUUUCUGUUGAAUUUUGCAGUGAUGAUGUGACUUUUGCCCUCAAAGACAGCAAAGACCUACCAUGGUUGGCUAAAUACCUGUAAUCACAAAUAGUGAGAUGCUAAUGCAUUCUUUCCCGCUUGUGUACUACAGAUUUAUUCUUUUUACGUUUUCUAAAACCCUCUCAAUUUUGCAAAUUCAUUUUUAUUUUGGGAUCUAAAUCCCUGUUAUGAUUGUAGAAGUGGGAUUAUAAUUAUCGGCCUUCCACAUGGCAAGGCACUUAUCAGAUGUGCACUUCUUAGUUUUGAUAGGCAUUUAUAUAUGCUUUUUCCUGCAAAUGACUAAACUUUUUAUAUCGAAUUGAUGAGUAUUUAGUUGCAAUGAAUUUUAGCGUCAGUGCAUGGGUGUUUCUUGAAAUAUUUUAACGGAACUUUAUCAUAGAUGUUUCUGAAAAAAUAUACGGGUGGGGAACCGUUGCUACAGGGAUAGGGUGGCAAGGAUGGAAAUGUGAGGUGUUUUCUGGUGUUUGGAUUGGGUACUUAUUGUUUAUCUAGAUCUGUUUUAUAGAAACUAGUGUUUAUGUAGCACCUUGCCUGCAUUAGCACCUUUGAUGUCUUCGCUAUAUCCAUGAUACACGGUUUAUCUUUAAAGAAAGGGAAAUAAGACUCCCAUGUCUGUAGUCUUUCAGGUCGACAAGGCUUCUGGACCAUCUAAGUAAUGCCAAGAAGCUUUUCUGUAUUUUUGUCAUCACAGCACUUGUGCUGCAUGGAGUCCAAGUUCUACUUGAGCUAACAAUUUCCUGUGUCAUCUUUAUCCAUUAUGAUAUUAGGCACAAUGCAAAUUUCAGAUCCUUUUAUUCUCAAUAAUCUUUAGCACGUCCAAGGAGAGGUUUUGAAUUUGAACCUUUAGAACUUUAGUGUUAGUAUGUGUUUUUGCACUCAAAAUGUCAAUGCAAGUUUGUUUCUAAUCUUUUCCAAAGUGAAACCAUACUUGUCUCGCUGUUAGGAAAUUCUGUUAUGACACUGGGGAUACCCAAGUAAUUAUCAAAGGUCAUUUGUCGAUUCCUAGACCAGAAGAGAAGAUUAGGCUCUGAGUCUGAGCAUGUGGGUAUGUGUUCUUGGAGAAGAACAUCUUUCAUUUCUCUAGGUUGAUAGAUAGGCCAAACCUUAGGUAAAAAUUGUCUAGAACACUUUUUGCUGUAUUUAUAGAACGUUCUCCACAACUAAAGAACAAAAUUAGGUCAUCUGCAAUCAUGCAGUCAGUGUGAGAUGACAGGCCCAAUCUUUAAAGGCUCCCAUUUUUCUGGCUCGCUGCUUCGUCAUACAUAUGGAAAUAUACAUAUGGAGAAAUGGACCCCCUUGUCUGAUUACCCUAAAAAGAAUUAUCCAUUUAGAGGGACAGGUUCGACGGGAUUAUUAAGAGGUCAAAAGGGAUUAAACCGUAUUUUUAUAUUUUAAGAGAAGGGGAAGUCAAAAGGGAUUAAAUCGUAUUUUUAUAUUUUAAGAGAAGGGGAUAGGUCCAACGAGAUCACUAACAUGUCAAAGGAAUCUAAAUACUUCUGAACCAAAUAUGUGUGCACUAAAGGACCCGGUGAAUUUGAAAGGUUAAGAAUUUCUAGUGUUUGAUAUUUGACAAAGAAGAUUUGAUCUCCCAACCAACAUCCCAAUAGGAACUUAAAGACCCUCUUGAUGGACACUAGACCAAUGGUUCAAGUUAAGGCCUCUCAUGAAACUCCAUUCAAAUUUGUCAUAAGCAUUUUCCAGGUUUAUUUUUAAAGCACGAUUUCCUAUUUUUCUCUCUCUUUGCUAGGAAUCUUUUUCAACACUUAACGCAGCAGGAAACACAUUAAACAAAAAUGUAGAACUCAUUUUACUCGUGAUCAUGAGAGUUUUUUUCUAUUCAAUUUGUUGGUACCGUUAGAAGAUUAUUGCUAAGUAUCUUGAGACUCAAUGAGAGCAGAGAUAAGCGAGCUUGGACAUCAUUUAUAGGAGAGCUGACAAUUAUACAAGAAUCCUGGUCUCACCAGAUUUUACACAGAUGUUUAGUAGAACAACUCCAAACUGUUAUCGUUUGAAAGAAAAAAAAAAAAAAAAGAACAACUCCAAACUUGAAACUGAAAGCAGGCACUAAUGAGGUUGACCAAACCAGUGUAACUCAAGAGCCUACAUUUAUCUUUCCCUUCUCAUUUAGUUUGUUGAUGUUAAUAAAAUUAAAUUGUUCAUUUUGUGAAGCAUUUAUUUGUGAAUUACUUAAAAGAUUUAAUAAUAUGUUUGCACCAUAACUAACAAAACUAGAGAUGUAAACGAAUCUAAUUAAGCUGAACACCCUAAUAUUCAAUCUUAUUUGAUUAUUUUAUGAGCUUGAAUUUUUGUUCAAAUUUAAUUAAUUUACUUGUCAAACAGAAUUUGAACAAGUUUCUUUAUUGAAUUUGAAUGUUAUCGAAUAAAAGAUGUUAUUCAAAUUUAGUUUGACUAGUCAAUGACUAAUCUCAUACGAAACUCUUAUCAAACCGAACUUGAUUUAAGUCUCGAGUAAUUUGAUUCAUUUUUCAACACUCUAUACAUCAAAUUAUUAUCUUCACAGCAGAGAUGUACUCCUUUGUCUUCUUAAUACAACGAUAAGAUUAUCUUUUCUAUUUUUACUAUUUUUUUUCAUUUCUUAGUUACGACCUUUUUUCCAAUUAGCUUUGCACUUUUCGUCAACAAACUAUUGACUUAAAUUUCUUGCGCUGUUUGAGCAUAAGCUUUUAUCUGUUCCAGAUUUUGUAAGAAUGGUAGAAUUAAUUUUAGAAUAGUUACAUGUAACCAUAAUGAUUAUUAUAAUAAAAAAUGUCAAGAUUAAAAGUCUACAUACACUUUUCGCGUGCGUGUUUACACACACUUGCUAAAACCUACAAUAGUGGGUAUACCUAAUAGUAAUAAAAAGAUAAUCCAUGCAGCAUCUGGUAUACAAAUCUGAGUCGUUACUUUUUUAACUUGUCAAACUCCAUCUACUUUUGAAGUCGAAUUUGAAUUCUGUUUCUAAGCAUUUAAUCAACAAUUUGCUAGAAGGUUAACCGCGUAAACAUGAACGAGGAAGAUGUUGGAAGCCACUCAUACUACAGCAGGAGAAAACUGCAUCAUACAAGAUGUUAAAGCAAUUACCUUUUACGAACUGUAGCAUUUAUCUUCAUGAAGUACAAUUUAAUCCUACUACGAAACACAAAACUGCAAAUUUAUGCAUUUGACAGCUGCAGAUUCAGAGCAGGUUGCUGCGUAAAAGAGGAGGUCCUCUGCCACAAUGGCCGGCCCAGAAUGGCACUUCCAUGGACAGCAAGGUAGGCGGCAUUCAACCUGUUUCAAAAAUUGAACAUUCUCAGCUAAAAGAACCACAGAGCACAUGGACAUCCAAGGAACAAAGACUACUGCAACAUUGUUGCAAGGAAGUUGCAAAAGAGGGAUUUACUUGUCAACGCCACGUGUAGCCAAAGGAUCAUAUAGUUCCUCUCUUUGUUCUAAAGCAGGAGCAGCAGCUGAUAUUGCUGCAGGAUCUUGAGAACCUUCACCCUGUAAAGAAUACAACAUAAACCACUUUUUCAGAAGAAAAAUCAACAAGAUGUGCAACCAAAUAUAUUCUAAAAACAAGAUUAACAAGAAAAAAUUCCCAGAAGGAAUAAUACGUAUCUCAAGAUUAUGGAAAUCCAGAAAUCUUGGUGGUGGUCACAUACUGAAGGUUUUGAGAGAGGCAAAGUGUGAAAAGAUGGCACAUUGGCCAAUGAAGUAAAUCUUUCUAUUAUCCUCGUAAUCGUCGCCUAUGCUCCAGUCACCAACAAAAGUUCAUAGGAAAAGAAGGGAACAAACACAACAGAAGUUGCUCAUGUGCAAUCCGAGUCAGCAUCUUUCAACUCUCCCAAUCAAAGCAGUCCAUCACUGCUUAAGAUGGAAGAACAUUGAUUGAAGCUCUAUUCCAAUCAACGUUACCUCACCAGGUGGAGCAAGGAAGUUAUAACAGCAGAUUUGCGGGUUGAGUUAAAAUUUUUGAUGGAACUCAAUCUAACUAAAUUCAAGGCAAAUCUAUUUUAAGCUUGGCUUCCCCAAGGUAGUUCACGAACUCCCAAGCCCCAACUGCCUAACCUCUGUUGAUCUUAAUCAACAAAACAUCGAUUAUGUUGUGCAGUAAAUAUUUGUUUCUUCAUAUCUAAAACAUUUGAGCUGUUCAUGAACUUUGGUAACAUGCUAGUACACUUACCAACAACACUAUCAAGAUGCAAAUUUUAUCCUAAAUACUACUGAAGCUAAAUUAAUCUUCAAUAUCACACUUGGCAGCCAGUAUGCCAAAACUUAUCCAGACUGUAGAUAGUUUUACCUGGAUAAGUCUCAAUUUGCAACUCCAAGAAGACCGACUCCCAUCUCAAAGUCAAGUUUAUAGAUUUUCAGAUAUGUCAUGCUUGAGAACUUGCCAAGUCAGAUUAAUCCACAUACAUAAAUAGCUUAAUUAGGCUUUGAGUAGAAUGUGAACAUGUGUUUAAACAACUCACUAUCACCCCCUUCAUUAGAUCUUGAUCUUGGAUUGCCAUUUAAUUUUACAGAUAGUGCCUGACUUCAAUCAUGAUAUCUGUAAUACGACCACAUACUUGAUAAUUCUUAAGUCACAUACCCUGAAAAUAUAAUGUAUUUGGCAUCGAAUUCUACACUUUUUAGGUAAUUUCUUAACUUUUCACCAGUCUCUUGUUUUGAAAGAAUUACCUUAACAAGGGAGCAUAAGAAAAUGAAUCUACAAACAAUAGAUUUCUAUGUGAAGGAUAAACGGCUGAAAUCAAGGCACAACCACAACUCUUCAUGAAACAAAGUCAUCCUAAAAAGACUCAACAUAUUUGCAGGCAACUAAACUCGUAUUCUUCUAAGUACUCAAACAGGCAUGUCAGAUUCUAUAACCAAAUCUUCUCGAGUACACAACUUCUGAUCAUGACACAAUGUAGUUCAGUAAGCAUACUUUUGAAAAUAUAAUGUAUUUGGCCACGAAGUCUACACUUCUUAGGCAAUUUCUUAACUUUUAAUCAGUCUCUUGCUUUGAAAGAAUUACCUUAACAGGAAGCAUAAGCAAAUGAAUCUACAGAUAAUAGAUUUCUGUGUGAAGGGAAAAUGCAAAUCAAGGUACAACCACAAUUCUUCUUGAAACAAAGUCAUCCUAGUAAGAUUCAACAUAUUUGCCGGCAACUAAACUCGUAUUUUUCUAAGUACUCAAACAGGCAUGUCUGAUUCUAUAACCAAAUCUUCUCUAGUACACAACUUUUGAUUAUGACACAAUGUAGUUCAGUAAGCAUAGUUUUUGGCCUACAUCACUAGUGCUCUCACUGUCAUUAAUUUCUUUGAUAAAAUUAGACAAAAGGGAUUUCUUAAAGUUUAGUCUUGAUGAUUUCCCUGGCAUUUUUCCACAAGGCGAAGUAAGACGUGCAAAGGCAUUCAUUUUGAGGGAUGCAAUAGAAAUCAUUGGCCCCAUAAGGCACAGCAAGAUCACCCUACAACUGGCCAUUAAGCAUGGUUAAGGUAUUGAAGUUUGACAACACCACUUAAUGCACCAUACAUUCAUUGGUAAGUGCUAUCACUUGUAUCGUUCCUGCAAGACAACUAUAUGCUGUUGUACCCAAUGUUUUUAAACAUGAACCGGCUGAUUGUCCAAUUCUGAUUUUUUCCCAACCGGCCAGUUCACCGAUUCUUUGAUUUUUAAAUUAUUUUACAAUAAUUAAUAUUUAAUAACCAGCAUAAAAAGAUGUUAAGACAGAAUGUUUAAGAAGAGCUUAUCUAGAAAUUUUUCAAAUAGCUUGCUCAAACUAAAUUUUUCACAAGAAUAUGCCUUAAAAUCCUGCAGCAGAGGGGUUAGAAAACAAGAACAUGCCCAUCCACCAAAGAAAAGAAAAAUGUUCAUCAGAAUUUCUUUAAAAUUAUGGCAAAAAAAAAUUCCAGUUUAUGGCAAAAAAGAAAUUCCAGUUUCUCAUAUUAACAACAAAAGAUAUGCUGCUUUUCCCAAGUCUAAGUACAAAUCAAAAUAAACUUUAUACAACCAAAUCAAAAAAUGGGGAAAAAAAGUGAAGAAAAAUCAAGCAUCUAAAAACAUGCCAAUCAUCAUCACCAUCUCAUCUUCUAUUGUCCAGCAUCAUCUUCAUCACCACUAGUAUGUCUUCUAUGCUUAAAAAUUAUGGAUAUAAUCUUCAUCAAGUUUAUCAUAGUUUUCACCAUUUAAAAACAAAAAUAAAAAAAUAGAUGAGAGAUUAAGAAGGGCUGCAAACAAGGGAUGUUGUAGCAGUGGGAUGAGUGUGAUGAGAGGGUGGAGAAGAAGGAUCUAGUCAAAAAGAGGAAACUGACGGCCAAAAGAAAAUAAGGGGAAGCUGAUGUUUUGGAGUUGAUGUGGAUGAUUAAUUAGCCCAUUAAGUUUGUUUUAGCCCUUUGUGAGCAAAUCAAUAUAGUCAAGUUGCUACCUAAAAUUUUGGGCUUUAUCAGCCCAAAAUUCAAAAAAAAAUUGAGAAGCCCAUAAAGAAAACCCAGUGGCCCCAUGUUGCAUCUCAAAACCCAGACUUAACCAGUUGAUUCUGGUUCACCGGUUUGUACCAGUUUUAUCUGGGUUUUUGCACCAGUUUGUACCAGUAUUGUCUGGUUGCUGUUUCCUCUUUUUUUACAGAACUGGACCAGUAUCAAGGCCUGUUCAACCUUGGCCAGCCCGGUUUUGAAAACACUGGUUGUACCAGUUUGAUUUUUUCUGUAAGUCAACACUAUCAAGACUAAGUGCAAGCAAAGAUUAAAGAUGCUGUAAAACCUCAGAAAGCUUUGAACCAUGAAAGAGAUAUCAAUCAUGAAUUUUCUAACAAAAUAUUCCAGAAAGUAUGUCUUCCAUUUUUCUUUUGCAUUUCUCGCUCUUUUGUCCCCUCUAUUAUGAUACACAGAGCCGUAUACCCACAACAGAAGUCCAGCACAGGAAAUGGGAAUAGUUUACUUAAAACUUUAGGUUCUAGCUUAAAGUGAUUUGGAUUCCACUAUCAAGGGGCAUCAUCCUUGACUUAUAACAGCAGUAAAUCAUGUACUUGGAGAAGAUACUAGAAGAAUAUAUAACAUCAUCUGAUAUUGGAGCAAGAAUUUAAUUUUUACAUGUUGAAGCCCAGUAAUACACUAACAGUUCUACUACAUUUACUUUUAACUUCUUCUUGGAUAUAUAGAAGCUAGCAAUCUGCAAAAUCCUAAAACACCCAAAACUAUGGGCUUGUUCUUGUCUUUUGUAGAUUUUGCAAAAGCAUAUUAUGGAAAGUGAUUCUAGAAAUCAUCAGAAUCAGCUAAAGCUACUCUUUGGUAGAUUAUGGAUUUUAGUUUUUUUGUAAUUAAAAAAUCUAAAAUCUAGAUGCAAAGGCGAACAACAAAAUUAUUAAAAAACAAAAAGACUAUUCAAAACCAGAAUCUAUAACCAGGUGAAAUAAUCAAAUGAGAAAAAGCCCUAUGUCAUUUCAAGAUGCAACUUUCCUUCUUCAUUUCUAUUUGUUUGUGAUACUAAUUUUCAUCCUUCUACAGCAGAUCAUACGCACUUGGAGGGAAAUUAUGCAGAGAGCAGUUAUGUUACUUUUAAGUUUAAAAAGUCCCAACUUGAACUGAAGUUAGUAAUCCUUACCUACUCCUGUAGAAAGGAACAACAUUCUAUGAUUGUCAGCAUGAUACCAGAAUCCAUAAAAAUGUUUGAACUAGGAAUUUCCUCAAAGAGUAAUACUUGUCUAAAGUAGUAUAGCAAAGCAGAAAGCAAGGAAUACAACUAAUCAAAAUACUCAUAAAUCGAACAAAUAUAUUUGCUUACCUGUUGAGUAUAUUGUAAAUAACCAGCAUAUGCACCAUAUCCAUACAAUGAGGGAUCUUGUGUGGCUCCAUAUGAAUAUGCAUCAUAGCCUUGUCCAUAACCAUAAUAAGCACUCCAUUGAUUAGGAUCUGUAGGCUGGGUCCAAGUACCAGGUAGAUCCUGUCAGUGGUAUCAAAUACUCAACAUCAUUUAACAAAGUCCAUAACAACACUAAGCUCUUUGUCUCAGUAGAUAGAUAGUACUCAUCACUUGACUCCCCAUUACCUCUGCUUUCUUAAAGGAUCAAUAAGUGUCCUAGUUCUCUGCCUUAUUAAUUGCUUAAAAUAACAUCCAAGUGGAAAAAAGUAUCCUAUCCAAUCCAUAAAAAAUACAUUCCAAUCCAGGCCAGUGUGAUAAAAAAGAAAGUUAAUGACAGACACCUGCUUUGCCGUUGGACUCCUUCCCCAAGAAAGACGGACUACUUGUUGCCCAAUCACAGCGCCCUGCAUCCUUUGAAUUGCUUCUUCUGCAGAUGUCCUGCAAAGAUGAAUAUCAAAAGACAGAAAUUUGUCCAGAAAGAAAAUGACUAAAUGCGUACAAAGGAGAAAAUAGGAAAUCAUGACAAUGAAGGACAGCAUUCGAUGUAUGCCAAAACAACUAUAGUAGUUAUAAACAGCUUUUAAAUGCAUGAGAUGAGAUGGCUAAAGAAAUCCAACAACCAAACUCAAAGCUUAAUUAGUCAUUCUACACCACCAGAAAAAUUCAUUCUUAUCUUUUUAACUUCUCUUGUUGGGAGUAGAGAGAAUUUUCUUUUGUGUUUUAUUCUCUUCAACAAAAUAUAAGUAAUAGUUUGCAACAUGCCUAUGAUAGGCAGUGAUCAUGCCUUUAAAAUAACUGAAUUAAAAGAUUCACACAUAUUAUUAACAAUAUAUCGCAAUCCAAUCCAGUCUUGAAAUGAGCCCUAAACCAAGUAUUGGGGUCCUUUUCAUCAACCAUUAUAUGCAUCUUUGAUUCUUGCUUCAUCAUCUCUAUUUCUGCUUUGAACUGAGUCAUAUAUGAAGCCCUUGCACAUCUUCAAAGCCUAUCUUAAGAGUAAGACCUCUAUGCAUUUGCUUGAAGUUAGUAUAAAAGUGUUGGACACAACACCUAUGCUCAGCUUCUGGAAGUUUGUCCCUAACAGCCUAAACUAUACCCUUUGCAACACACACAACAAUCACAUAUGCCACACUAAUAUCAAUAGUUUAACAUAAAUAUUAAUUGGAUAACAAAUUAAUAAAUACUACCUUCUGUUUGUCAGUCAUAUGCACCAUGUACUAAGAUCUGAAAUUUGUAAAUCUUGUACAAGCAAUCCUAAAGACCAACUCCAGUUAUCAUAAUUCUCUACCCCAACAACUGACAAAGCCAACGGAAACAUUUUGUUAUCACAUCCAUUCUAACUGCUAAUAAAAGCUGCCCAUCAUAUGGACCUUUUAGGAAGCAACUAUCUAACCCAAUCUCUAUAUCAGCCAGCUAAAAACUCUCUUUAUUGGUUCUAAGCGCAUAUACAGCCUUCUAAACCUAGAAACACCAUUUCAUCUAUAUCAGUCUUAACAAACACAGUAAAUCCCGGAUUUGCCCUCUCAAUUCACCACAAAUGUUUCCAACAUGGUGCUAGUUUGUCAUGGAACCCCUGAAUAGUGUCUCUCACUUUUCUAAGUGUUCUAUACCUUACUUAAGGCUAAAAUCAAUAUUUAACUCCUCAAUUACUUUGGUCAUCAACUCAUGCACUGUCAUAGAUGACACUUUCCUUACCUCAUCAACAAAUAGUUUGCUAGCCAACCUAGAUGUCAUUUUUUAUUGUGGAACACUCUUCCACAAGUGUGCUCAUCACUAAGUGUUUUUAUUUGAAAGGUGUUUUCAUCUUGCAUUUUAGACCCAAAUAGCUGCUAGUCACAAUUUCUGCAUUUCAGUCUCACCCUACGUGUGUCAUUUUUCUUGAAACACACAUCUCUCCCAUCCAUUAUUGCUUGGAUCUUACAGCCAACCUGAAUGUAAUGACUGAUGUGAACUUCUGACCAACUUCAAACUUUGGUUUCUUCAUGUCUGUUAACUGGAAAUUUAGGCCUCCUUGUUUUACUAUUCCCAUCUUCAUCAGAUUCACUUUGACUCCUCAAUUCAAAUGAAUCAUCCAAGUCAUAUUCUGAUUCAAUGUCAUCAAUAUUAAUCAUAUCAGGGUCAUCACAACAGUUAAUUUUAAUGGGUGGGUCUCUCUUCCUUCUUGGCUUUUUCUUUCUUUGCUCACUACAAUGAGAAGGACCAGGUUUAUUGCAAUGCGAAGGGCCAGCUUCAUGUGCACCUAGGUCUACUCCAAUAGUUUGACCAAUUUUGAUGGCUUCAUCUAAUACGUCAUUGUCUCCCCCUGGAUCCUCAUAGUCUGAAUCUGCCAUCUUCUUAUCAACAUUGACUCCAUUUUCUUCCUCUUCUUGUCUGGCAAUAUCACAUGAUAUUUCCCCUACACCACCUUCAUUGCUGGCUGCCUUUUGUGCAUUUUCAUUGCAAUUUUUACAUUCAUUUUCUUCUCUGACUUGUGCAUUUAAAGCUUCAUCAUAACCUUCAACAUCUUUUGUUCCUUUGCAGCAUCACUCCUAUUAUCAGCUUUCUCUUCUACCAAAUGUCGUGCCCCAUUUUUUUGAGAUAAGAAUAAAAGAUGAGUUUAAAAAAAAUGGCUUUUGAUUCAAUUUUUGAUUGGAAAAUGACUUUUUGAUUUAAAAAGAAAAUGAAAAAUAUGAGUCUAAAUGGGACUUGAAAAUGUGACGAUUUGACCCAAAAUAUAGUUUAAAAAGGGUUAUUUGAAUUAAAAAUCGGAAUCGCCACUUGGUAUAGAGUUAAGGUGUACCAAGUCACCUAAAAGUGAAUUUUUAAAGAAAAGUAGAAAACUCUUUUCAAACGAACCCCAAGUCUACGAAAAUCAGAGAAAAAGAUUCGGGAGUCACAUUUGAAGAAAGAGAAGGCAAGGAUAAGAAUCCAAGGCACCAUUUCAACCUAGCCAAGGCUAGUUGCGUGAUUUAGUCAAAGAUUUUCUUAUAUUACCCUUAAGAUUUAUCACAUUUGGAUGUACUAUAUGAAUGCAUACCCUAGACCUAAGAGGGUGUCAGGGGGGUUUCGAAAUGUAUCUUCAAAGCUUACUUCGGUACCAAUCACAUUAAUUGUGACGCCCAAUAAAGACUUUUCGAAAAAAUCACGAAUAAUGCAAGUCAUGAGACUCGAAAGAAAGGAAAAGUAAAGAAAAUAAUAAUAUACAAAUGUGUAUGACCUAAAGGAAUGCAUCAUAAUGGGUGCGGGGACUAAUGUUCGUGACUCAAUUUUCCCUUUAAUAGAGGGAAUACGAGUGUGCUAAGGCUAGAAAGCCAAACUCGUCAAUAUCCCAUACUCAAGGGGUUUUUUCUAGUCUAACCAAGCAAAUGUACUAACCUAGGUUUAAUACUUAGAUGAAACGCAAGUCUAAUGUCAUGUUUCAUACAAAGGGGUAAGUAAUAUACAUAUGAGGGAAAAUAUGGGGGAAGGGAUAUACGUAGAAGGAGGGAUGUCAUGCAAAAAAAAUGAUAAAAGACCCUAAAAAGUGAAAACAUGCAUGAGAUGGAGUGAUUUUAUCACACAAUCAUGAUCUAACGCUCGAGGGCUCCUAAGGGUCUAGCAUUGGACUAGCCCUUUUACUAAUACUCUCUCACAAGCAUUGGACUUGUGAGGGCUCGAGGGGAAAACCAUGACUAGCAUUGGACUAGCCACGGUAACGUGCAUUCAUCCACACAAUCAGAUACAAUAUUAAAACAAAUAGACAUGCAAAACACAUAGUUUCACAUAGCACGUAACACAUAAGCAUGCUUGUCUAGAUGCAGAAUCCUAGGAAACGAUUAAACACAUAGGCAUAUAGGCACACACAAGCACAUAGCACACAAGCCCUAUCUAUUACAAAAGGGGAUGCCUACUACAGUCUAAAGGGGAGAUAAAAUAAAUAAAUAAUUAAAAUAAAUAAAUCUUUAACUAUUACAAAUUUGGCAUCCAAGUGCCUUUCAAAUGAGCAAAAUUGAACUACAAUAAAUAUUCAAAACUAAAGCCAAUAAGUAAGUAAAUGAUAAAGAUAAAACACUUUCAACAGGCAUGCAAUUAAACACAUAAAGUCAUAUAGGGCAUGUAGGAUCCAAUAAAGUGAGAAAUAAGGGAUAAAACGUACCUCCCUUGAGGUGGGGCCCUAAUUGAAUGAAAUCACUUAUUUACCCUCCAAAAUAAAAGAAAAGGUCAAGGCAUCUCAAAUAAUCACGUUUAUACGAAAUUGAAUCAUUAAAUGCAUUCAAAUGCCUAAACAGUCCAUAUUCACAAGAUUAGGAUCCAAUUGAAAGGAAAAAGAAAGUUCAAGGGGGGCAAUUUGAUUGAUUUUUUAAUUAUUUGGGCCAUAGUAUAACAAAAAGGAACUUGGGGGGUUAAAGUGUAAUUUUUAGAAUUACUUUCCAUGCAUGCUACGAAGAAACAAAUUCUCAUCUCUGGUUUCCCUUUCUCUGCAGCUUACUGUGUUUCAUUACCAACCCAAACAUUACCAACAAACAUCGACUUUUGAAUCAAACGAUCACAAGACACUCCCCCAAUCAUCAACCAAGCCAAAUAUUACAUUUGUGUUGCAAGACCGAAUGAGAAAAAUCUGGUUUAGUGAUUGCUAGAAAAACAAAGUGCAGCAGUAGUUUUCGUAACAGCAAAACAAGAAAAUGCAGCAACAAUCUUUAACUCUUGUUUGAAAUGCCAAAAACAAAACGUUCAAGAAAUCAUGCUUAAGCUCAGACCCUGAAACAAACAAGAUGCCAAACAUGCUAUGAAUCAAACACUCAUCAGAGAAAACGCAUGCCAAGCUGAAGUUUUCCUUCCCACAACACUUUGUCUUCGACUUCAGCAUAUAGGAAACAACCAUGAAUAGCUUGCUGAAGCCUCCAACUUCAACUCUUAAAGACAUCAAAUUCCAAAUCAGAAAAUGAAAACCAAAUGCGUGGUUAAUAUUCGGGUCCCUCCCAAUUCAAAAUGUAUUCGCAAGGAAAUAAACUUCUGCACUGAUUUGCUUUUUUUUUUAACUUUGCAGGUGACCUGAUAGCAUGUGAUAAUCUUAACCAGAAAAAACAAUCUCAAAUAUUUAACAAGCUUCCUAAACUCAUCACUGAAAUAUAACAUUGAAUGCACAAACGAAGGAAAAAAAUCUGAGCAAAGGAGGAAUUCAUCAGACCCCAGAUUCAUUCAUUAGUUUCAAAACUAAUGACUUUCCAAACACAGCUUUAACACCAGAUGUUGUUCAUGGCAUUUCACUCAAGCAUAGACAACAAAAAACAAGCAAGUCAAACGAAGUCAUAGCUUCAGCAAAACGAAUACGUGAAAAUGACAGCCACUACAACCCAAAGUAAAACACAUGAAUUGGUCAAACGUUGCUGCAACAGAUUUGAGCAAGCCGAGAGUUGCAAACCUGUUGCAUUAGAAGCUCAAUCUAUUUCUAAGAAUCCAGAGCUACCCAACUACGAUAAAGGAUCUCACGAACAGGGGCAUAAGGCCAUAUUCAUCAGAAAUCAGCAAUAACAUCAUGUUCAUCAGAAAUCAGCAACAACAAAUCACAACCAAGAAUAAACGAACUAGAAAGCUGCAGAUCCUUACACAAAUAUCACCAGAUCUUCACAAAAUGGUAUGAAAAUGACAGGAAGAAAGGCUGGAGUUACCUACAAAUGUCGGUGAAAUAAAGCAAACGUGAAAUAUGUCCGAAAAAUGCAUGCAAAUUCCAGAAAUGAGAUUGAGAAUGCCGGCGCCGCAGAACUUCAGCGCUGAUGAAGUCGUCACCUUGGCUCCUGAUUUGGCUAUCUUCCUAUGGUUUUCCCUUCAAAAUUUCUGAAUGAAAAACACUCCCAUCACAUUGUAGAUGUUCCAGAUUACCCUAAAUCUCCAAUAAGGAGCCAAAUCCAUAGAAAAAAUUGCCUCCAAAGACAACAGAAAAUCAGCCUGGAUAGCAGAUUUUCUGGAAAAUUUUCUCUUCCCGCCGCCGCUCUUUCCCCUCGUUUUUCUCAGUUUUCUCCUCUAACUCUUCCCAGAUCUAACUCUCUCCCUCUCUUAUUUUGGUUUUCUUCCCUAUCCCAGAAAGCUCUCUAGUUUCCCCGGCUCCUUUCUUCUUCGUGUUCCCUUUUCGCAAACCUCAGCCGAAGCCUCCCUCUUUACUUCGGUCCUCCUGUUUUUCCCUCAACCAAAGACGAAAGCCCUCUGUUCUUUUCCUUCCCUUUUUCGUUUCCUAUGUAGCUCCUCCGAAAGCUUCUCCCUCAGUUUUUUCUUUUCCUUCUGCUUUUUCUUCCUCCUUCAGUCCAACGCUUUUUCUUUGUUUUCGUUCCUUUUCCCCGCAGCUUCUCUCUUUUCACCGUUUUCCCUCCUUCCGGGUCUCUAACUCAGCCGCCCUACUGUUUUUCUUUCUGUCAACCUCAGCCCUCCUCCUUUCUAGUUUCUCUCAGCCGUCCUUAGAUGCUCCCUUAGUUCUCUGCUGUUAUCUUUCUUUUCCCGUCGUUCUCCUUUUUGCCCCCCUUUUUCUCAGCCGCCCCUUCUUCCUUUUAUAACAAACAAAACACUAAACCCUCCUCUAAAGGGUUCUGAUGGAAGCCAAGUCAUUAGCCUUGUAGAUCAUCCGAUGGUGAACAAAAACAAGGAGUUGUUGUGCCUGCUUGAAAUGUUAUAUGAAGAAAUAGGCGCGGAUCCUGUGUAGCUCGGGUGCAUGAGCCUGUUUCCUUUUUUUUUCGGCAUUUUCAUUUUUUCAUUUUUCUCUUUUUCUUUUGUUUUUCUGAAAUUUAAUAUGAAGACAAAAUAAACCAGAACAAAAUAAAAUAAAAUAAAAAUUAAAACCCUAGAAUUGAAACAAAUAAACCCAUUAAAUUAAUUAAACAAAUAAAAUUAAAAGAUCAAAAAUUUGGUGUCUACACCAAAAUUUCAGUUUCAGUCGCUUUGCUAUUCACGUCUUCAUAUUCUGGUUCAUCUUCAGCAGCAACACUAUAAAAAUCCUCACUUUUUUGUUCAACAUCAGCACAUUUUCCUUGCUUGCCUGCAGUUUUUGGUGCUAUUUCUGGCCCAUUACUACUGUCUAAAUCUUUAGAAAACAGAUUCGGUACUCUCGGUGUCCAGUUGCUACUGCACCCUUUUGUAGUGUCUAAAUUUACUGGAUGAAUGUCAAUAUUUUCUCUACCAUCUUUUUCCACUUCAUCAGGGUCUAUACCUUUUCUAUGAUUAUAACAUCACUGUCUCUAUCCCUUUCGGCUUCAUCUCCCUUAGCUUGACUUAAGGGUGCUACAGCCUGUGGAUAACCUUGUGAGAAAACUCUAAGAAACACUUCUGCCACCCUAUGUGGUGGUAAUAUGUUCACCAUCAUCUCACAAUCCCUAUCACACAUACAAAAGACCAAGCCUGUAUCCAAUGUCAUCCCUGGUAGCAGAUAAUACCACCCAAAACCAUCUUCUACAUCAUACCCAAGUCUCUCUUCACAUUUGUCUAGAGCUACUAAUGACCACAUUUUUGGGUUGCAUCUACCUAUAAAAUCAACCAUUCCCCCUAUAUACUGCUUGUUAGGAGAGUCUGUGAAGGUCCCUUGAUGGUGUAUCUUUAAGGAGAAAGGUUCAGGCCAAAUUCCACUAUCACCAUUUCCUGGUUCAAAGAAAAAUUUUUUUAAUUCAAUAAUUAAUUUUUUGACACCUUUUACAGUGAAUCGGGACCACAAUGUCUUUAAUACAAGGAACAUUAGGGUUUGGACAAGAUAAACAUUGACUUAAAAAAGACCCCAAAUCAUUUUCAAGCCCAUACAUUCGACAUUAAACAAUUUUGUCUACCAUAAUUUAUCACUAACAUAUAACAUAUAGAGGUCAAUCUGGCCCUUUUUACAUUCCACAAUAUCACUACUAAACCUAACCGACAACAAUCAAAUAACCCAACUACUAUAUACGCUAUUAUCCAACAAGCAAACAAUGACCGUAAUAUCAUUUCUCUUACUGGGGCGGCCUUUCUCUUCUUGUUCUUCAAUGGCAACCUCAUUUCUCCAUCAAACCCUCUUCAAUGGCGAUCUUGAAUUUUCCAUGUUUACAAUAAAUUUCAUCUCUGACUCACGGUCACUAUCAUUUCAAGGGUAUAGACUAGUAGAAAUUUGAUAAUGUAUUGUUCACACCUUUUUCUCUCUCUCUCUCUGUGUUCAAAUCCAAGGUGAAGACGGCAGAAACAAAAACAAAGCUGUUUCGACUUAUUUUUCUUUUGCCCUUAUACCUAACGGGUGGCUAUUUUAGUUUUCAUGACUUAUCUAAUCUCACUAACGGCGCUUGUUUUGCACGCUCGAAGAACCCUGAUGAUUCUGUGGAGUCCGUCAACGAUUUUACUUAAUUGGGACGGAUUCAGUAGUUUGGGGACUUAAGUGUCUCAUUUACAAGUUUAGGGAUUAAAGUGAAAAUAGAGUAUAGUUUAGGGGGUCAAAAGGAAAUUUACCCGGUUUAAUUUGGUAUCAAAGACAGAGAAAGAGGAUCCAAGGCAUUUUAAAAAACGCGGGAAAGCCAAGCCAAGCUGCAAAUUCCCGCCAUUUCAUGUUACUAUUUCCGCCCCCAACUAAGCAAAACACCAAAAACAAAUACAAAGUCCACGCCUGCUACCGCCGCCGCCGCAGCAGCCACCGGUUUCCUCCUGAAAUAGAGCUCCCAUGGCUGAAACUCCAAAGAAAAGAUCCAAACAAACCCCUGAGCACCAACAGCAUGAUCUAUCUUCCUCAAAUGCCAUUACAAUCCUGCAACCCCAGUAGCCCUAGACCCCACCCCUGUCCGCCGAUCUUCCCGCCUUUACACCAACCCAACAGCGGCCACUGCUCCACCUCCUCCACCACCACGUUUCACCCGCCGUAAAUCCCUCAAUUUCACAACCACCACCCCACCCCCACCCCACCCCAAAACCCCCAAGAAACCAGCUCCCCAAAGUCAGGAAGAUGCUGCUAAGCAGAUUUCGCCUAUAUCCCCCGAUCGAUAUGAAACUAGGAGAAAAAGAAAAUUAGAUGAAGAAAAGAAUGCGGGUCUUGCGAAAAAUAAGGAUUUGAAAGGGGGAAGAAAAGGGUUUAUUAUAGAAAAGUGGUUUAUGAUGGGGGUGAGUUUUCUAUAGGGAUGAUGUCUAUGUGAAGAGGAGAGACAAUGCUGAAUCGGAUAAUGAGGAUCCUGAAGUGGAGGAGUGUGUGAUGUGCUUUAAGGCUGGGAGGGCGGUGAUGAUUGAGUGUGAUGAAUGCUUGGGGGGAUUUCAUCUCAAAUGUUUGAAACCACCUUUAAAGGAGGUUCCAGAGGGGGAUUGGAUUUGCAGGUUCUGCGAGGCAACAAAGUUGGGGAAAAAUGUUGAAUUGCCUGUGCCACCUGCAGGGAAGAAGAGGGCUAGGACUGCUAAGGAGAAGUUGCUUUCGAGUGAUUUGUGGGCAGCCCAUAUUGAAAGGUUUGGAAAACACUUUUCCAACCAAUGUUAUGUUUUGAUGAUUAUGCCUCAACUGGUUAAUGAUUCCUGAUUACGUUUACACUGGUGAUUUUUGAAUAUCGCAUAGUAUGUGGAAGGAAGUGGAUGGUACUUAUUGGUUUCGGUCUCGAUGGUAUAUUAUUCCUGAGGAGACUGCUGCUGGGAGACAGCCACACAAUUUAAGGAGGGAGCUUUACAGGACUAACGAAUUUGCUGAUGUUGAGGUAGUAACUGCAAUCCCCUAAUUCACCGUAUAGGUUCACUUUUUCCAGAUGCAAUUGCUUAUGCUUUCAUGAUAGCGGACUGCAUAUUUAUAGAUGUUGGAGAAGAACAGGUUUAUGCCAUGAUUUUUGCAUAAUGUUUUGCAUAGUCCCAAAGUGUUGCUCAGUAUUGUAUGCUGUGUUUCUUUUUUGUAAUGCUUGGAUAACUGUAUAUUGCAUUGUUAAUUACCAUUGUGUACUGAGACUGUUUCUUUUAUGCACAUAGAACCUGGUAAAGAGCAGUUUGUGGGCAUUUCAUGGAAUGUAACAAUUGUUUUAUGAGAUUAAACAAAGGCUGUUGAGAGUCUGGAUUUCUCUAACUAUGAAGGCAUCAUGUUUCUAAGGGGUUCUUUUAGGACACAUGGAAUUUUCUGUGUUGACAUUGACUCUGUAGUACUUGUUUCUCUAGAUGGAAUCUAUCAUUAGGCAUUGUUAUGUUAUGAACCCUAAAGAUUUUAGCAAGGCUGCUGAUGAAGGAGACGACAUUUUCCUGUGUGAAUAUGAGUAUGAUGUAUGUUGGCACAGUUUCAAACGCAUUGCAGAAAUCUCAAAUAAUGAAGAGGUAAGUGUUCCUAAACUCUGAACAACAUAAUUGGGGAUGGUAAUGCUUUUGCAUUGGACUUGAUUGAGACUGAUAUAUGCUUUUAUGAUUAAUAGGAUGCUGAAGAGGAUGAAAGUGAUAAGGACUGGAAUUCUUGCGAAAUUACGGGCUCUGAUUCUGAAGAUGACACAGACUAUAAAAAAGAGAAGAUUAAUGGCUCCCAGCGUGGACCCUCAUUUGGUCUCAUUUGGUCAUUCAUUGGCUGCUGUAUGAUCUUUCUUUUUUUUUUUUUUUAUAAAUCUCCUAAGUACUUAUUGGUAAUGGCAUCUAGUUGAAGCUGAUAGGCUGUUUUAAACUCUCUCAGAACUUGCGGAAGGGGCAAUUUUUUGGACUUCAAAAGAUUGGGGCAAAGAAAAUACCAGAACACACAAGAUGCCACAAACAAACAGAAAUUGGAAAAGCAAAAGCUAUGCUUCUACUGGCAUGCUUACCUAAGUCUCCACCUUGUAGGAAUAAGUGAGGAUGAUGCAGUAUAUUGUUUAUUUCUUGUGAUUCUUUGGUUAUCAAAAGAUGACAGGUCAUUCGAUGUAGAGAAAUGGAAGAAAUAACUGCAUUUAUCAAAGGAGCUGUAUCUGAUGGUCAAUGCCUCGGAAAAUGUCUUUAUAUUCAUGGAGUUCCUGGAACUGGGAAGGUAAGAUCUAGUAGCUAUUAUUGCAACAACAGUCAUAUUGUUUCUAGACAACACAUUAAAGUUAGCCACAUAAUGGUAUAAACUUAUUCUUGUUGUUGCCAACCAACAGACAAUGACUGUCCUUGCAGUAAUGAGGACCCUAAAAAUCGAAGUUGAUUCUGGGAAUAUCAAGCCUUAUUGCUUCGUUGAGAUCAAUGGUCUAAAGCUAGCCUCACCUGAAAAUAUCUACAGAGUAAGGUUUUUGGCGUUUAAUUUAUUUAGGACAUUCAUCUAUUGCCUGAUGACAUUCUCUUCUUUAAUUAUCUUCAGGUAAUCUAUGAAGCUUUAACUGGACACAGAGUUAGUUGGAAAAAGGCUCUACACUUAUUGAAUGAGCGAUUCUCAAAUGGGACGAAUUGGGAAGAAGAAAAUAACAAGCCUUGCAUCCUACUCAUAGAUGAACUUGAUCUUUUAGUAACCAGAAAUCAAUCGGUAAUUGGCAGGAGAUUUAAGAUUAGCUACGUUAACAUCUGCUUUCUACAAAAUUUAGAAAAUUUUUUCACCCAUAACCACCUUGUUUUUCCUGUCUUGGCUUGUAAAUCACAGGUUUUGUACAACAUUCUUGAUUGGCCUACCAAGCCACAUUCCAAACUAAUUGUGAUAGGUAAACACCCACAUUCUUGAUUGGUUCAACAUGGCAGGCACAAUUUGAUGAUAACAAAAGAAUGGGACUUUAUUUCUGCAUUUUGAAUAUCAUUCCAGGUAUAGCAAAUACCAUGGAUCUUCCUGAAAAGUUGCUUCCACGCAUCUCGAGUCGGAUGGGCAUACAGAGGCUUUGCUUUGGGCCCUAUAACUACCAGCAGCUUCAAGAAAUCAUAUCUAGUCGCCUCAAAGGAAUUGAUGCUUUUGAAAAACCAGCAAUUGAAUUUGCUUCUAGAAAGGUUUUUUUUUUUCUCUUUUUAUAAAUGAAUUAUGUUUAUGUGUACCUCAUAAAGAGUUCACCUGCUUUGAAGCUUUCAUUACUAUUGGUGUUUAUGUUUCUAAAUUUAGGUUGCUGCUGUCUCUGGUGAUGCUCGCCGUGCACUGGAGAUAUGUAGGCGAGCGGCAGAACUUGCAGAUUAUCGCUUAAGAAAAUCACAAUCACUUAAUGAUUCUGCUGGUACAAGUGAGACCUCUUAGAUGUUGCUUUCAUCAAUCUGAAGAUAUUUUAAUUAGAAUGCAUGUCAAUCCAGCAUCGGAUGAAGAAUUGUACCAAUAGAGAAAAAGGAAUACCAACUUAUUGGCUCUUGUGCUUCUCAUUUUCAGUUAAGAAGAAUCUGCAUAAGAAAUACCCUUGAACUAUUUCAUGUAAUUUGGCAAUAAAUCUUUUCCAUUUUUGUUUUCAUCAAAUGAAUCGACAAUUUCUAAGCACUUUACAAUAUCCAGAUAGACUGCUAUGAAUUGCAUGGGCAUGUGCUAUCCCGGUUCAGAAUGAUCCGUGAAAGGACAUAUAGUCCAUAUAACCUGUAAUCAGAUCUGAAAAUAAAGCAUUUCAUGGUAGAUUGUGUUGCAAAAAUUUUAUGGCAUGAAAUUCAGUAAUAUUGCUUAUUCUUUCUCUAAUCCAAAAUUGAUGAAGCCAAAGUUUUAGUGUCCUUGAAGUUUCUGCAAGAUAUCAUGGUUAUGCAAGUAUUGCCAUUUUUCAUCUUUCAGCAUUUACUUAUAUCAUCGAGUAUGAGAGGCAAGAUAAGAGCAGGCUGGCCUUCUAUUCAACUUUUGGUAAAUAAAAGAAUUUAAGACAACAAUUUGUGAAAUGAUGGACUUGGUAUUGGCCCACAUAAAGUACUUUCUGACUCCUAUUUUUUAUUUUUACAAUGUUAAUAUUGUAAAGAUUUCUAGAAAUGCUGGCUAAUUCCUUAGAAUGUAGAUGUGUAAAGUUUUAGUUUGGUUACAGAAACUUAUUAGGCUAAAAUGCAGGGAAAAGAGAGUCAACGAUGAAAAAUUUGCUUCAGGAUUUGUGGAGACAUAUAGGAAAAGAAUUUAGACAUUGAUGAAACUUCUGCCUGUUCUACCUCUAUCUAUGUGGCUAGAUAAGUGAAGUGAUGUUUAUAGUACUUGUCGAAAGACCUGGGGACAUUGACAGCACAGUAACAUGGCUGGUAUUAUGUGUAUUUUGUGACACCUUUUCAUCAGAGGCAGGCAAUUUAUUUGAAGAUUAAUAGUGAUAAGUUGCACACUUAGAAUUGGUGAUGUGAUAAUAUUUAGGACAAAAAGACAUCAAUAAUCUCGUUUUCUGCAACAGAUGGCUUUAAGAUUCAGGUCUGCACCUCUCUUUAGAUAUACCAAAUUGGAUGUCCAAUAGCUUCUUAUGGCAUCUAAGCCUCACAUGAUUUGGUGAACGAUUUGCUACCUGAUGCUGUAGUCAGAAGUACAGUUUUACACUAAAAUCAGUUUCUGUUCUUUUUGAAAGAGAAAAAGUACAGUUUAAUCCACAAUGUGAAAGUAGUAAAAGUACCUGUAGUUACUGCAGUUUUAUUAAUGAUUUUGCAGUUUUAAGUUCUCAAGUUUAAGAUAUUUAAAUCCUGCUUAUUUGUUCCACGCCAGAAAAAUGUGGAUUCACAGUUUCUUUGUGAACUUAUCAGGUUUCAAUGAAUCAAAACAGGCACUAAUAUAGGCUUAAGGCAGUCAAUUCAAAAGUUAAACAUAUUUCAUACUAUAAAAUUUGUUUCAAAGUAACUAACCAUUUAGUGACCUUGUUCUCAUGAUCUUGUCGUCUGAGAUUUUCUUUCAAGUCAUCCCAAGUAAACCAAUUUGUGGGGUUUUUGGUAUUACUGCUCAUGCAAACCCUAAUAAGGCUUCUAAGCAUCACAAUGAAGGUUGAUUCAUUUACCAUUAGCUGUCAAUUCUUUUGACGAACUUAAAUUUUGUGUAAAUUGAAGAAAGGUAAUUUGCAUCCCUUAAACAUUUAAAAAAAAAUCAAAGCCAUAUCAUCGGGAUAUUUGAAAUGAAGCAAGCGAUGUAUGAAAAGUUAACAAAAAAGUCUUUGUAUGGAGCUGUAAUGACACCAUAUGCUGGUAUUACAGUUUUCCUUUUGAUCUAUCUCUACACCUUCUCGCAACUAGCUAAUGAACUGUUAACAUCGACCACCAGCUUUGUGAAGAUAGAUUCUGUCAGCUAGCAGGUGCCAAAGGAUUAAGUUAACUACCUUACCUUACAGCUUUAUAGCUGUAAGCUUCAGUGAGGACAUUGAAGAACUAAUUAUUGUGAUCUACACUGUCUUUUCUGUUGCACAACAUCUACUGUCCCUUCUUGAUGAUUGAUAUAAUAUACAUACAUAUGUAUAUAUGGUCUUCAUUUAUAGCACCUAAUGAUGAAAAAACUUGGCUUUGCUGAAAUAAGCAGGCAAUUUUACCCCCGUUCCUUUAGAAAUUUUGGGGUUCAGGAAGUACAUUGUGCAUUGUCCCCUGUUCUGCCUGGUAUGCUAAUGUUGGUGAUGAAUAACUAGAACUUCAAAUGUGUAGAAUUCAUUUCAUUAAGAACUAUGCCUGGUCCUUAAAAACUUGUGCUCAGAUGACGAACCUGCAUGAUGCCAUUUGUUCAGGAAGAAGUCUUGUUGGUGUGGCAGAUGUAGAAGCAGCAGUAAAGGAAAUGUUCCAGGCUCCUCAUAUUCAAGUAAGUAUACAACUGUGAAGUAUCACGUGAACACUACUCCAUUACAGUUUUUAGAGGAAUACAUCAGUGAUGUCAAGGAAAUGCUGUGCCGCUGUCUUGAGGGUGGAUCCAAGUAUUUGAUGGUACUAGUUCCCUGACAGGGCUUGAGUAAUCAAGUUAUGGAUACUAAUGAAGUCUGUUUUGAUUGAAAUGCAACUUGAUACAGCUGGCUUAUUAUUAGAUGUGGUCAUAAAAGGCCAAAAUUUUCUUCCUUUUUUUUUUGAGGCUGGGAAGGGAGUUCUGCCUUUGUAUUCUUUAGAUCAUUAAGUGGUCCAUAUUUCUUUGAUGUUCACUUAUUAAUUGCAGUUUUCUUUUUAUAGCUAGUCUAUACAUUACUUACUGGAGAACCACCAUAUACACUGCUCAUACAGGCAUUAUUUAUGUAUUGACUUCGUUCGCAGGUAAUGAAAAGUUGUUCCAAACUGAGCAAAAUAUUCUUGGCAGCAAUGGUGCAUGAACUGUACAAAACUGGAUGGGUGAAACCAGCUUUGAAAAGGUUAUAUGGACCCUUUCAUUCUUUGAUUUUUAUUCUUCUUAGAAUGAUGGUCAUGAAUACAGCAGUACUAGUAUUGUUGUUGUUAGAGUUAAUGUUGUUAUUACUAUCAUUUUUGUAGUCUUACUCCUUGCUGCUGUGCUACCAUCUGAAUGCCUGAGUUAUGCAUCUUCACAUGGUUCCAAGCUGCCAAUUGCUUCCUUGGCACAUACAGCGCUAUCAUAUUUUGUUUGUCUUAUCUAUUACUUUUUCUAUUACCACAAGAUAGUAGAUACAACUUGCUGUUUCUUUGUGAUUUUUUUUGAUUCCGCCAAACUGUCCUUGGGAUUUCUUUUUCCUUCUUUGUUUUUGGAUGUGGCACCAGGAGUUGGGGAAAGGGGAUGGGGGAUUUAGCUUUUUCGGGCUGUUAGGGUAGCUUGACUAUAUUGUUUGGUAUGAAAUCUGAUAUUCUGCAUCCAGCCUCCAGCUGCUGCUGAGAGGUUGUUGAAUGUUAGUUGAUGCCACAGCAGCAGCUGGAAAGUAAAAGAUUACAUUCAGUGUCAUUCAAAAAUUGAAUCUUCCCAUUUUUAUCAGGUUUUACUGUUUCUGUUUUGUGUUGACUUUUCUUUUAAGUUUUUAAAGAUUUUUUUUAAAUUAUAUUCUGUGGGAGAGGCUAUAAUAUUAUAUUGCUCUUCAGCAUAAUGUCCGUAAAUGCUUGCUGUAUAUGCAGUUGGCAAUGACAGUUUCAUGCCUGUGUACAAGCAACGGUGAAGCAUUUCCAGGAUUUGACACACUCUUUAGAGUUGGGUAAGAUGCGUAAAUAGUUGUAUUUCCUUCAAUCAUAUGAACCAAAGUAUAUCGUCAGCCAUAUUCUUGUAGACCUUUUAUUGAAAUGACUUCAUUUAUGUGCUCAAAGACACGAAAUAAGUGUGACAUUUGUGUCUUUGCCAUGUAUGCACUUACUAAUUAGCAAAGAAGAUUUAGACCGAAUUUGAAGUUCUAAUGUGCCCCAGAGUUAAAGUUGAGGAAUUUUCUUUGCACUCCUUGUGUUUGAUAUUGGAUCUAAAAAGGAUUUCUUUGUUUUUGUUCCUUUCUUCUGUAGUUGAAAAAUCAAAGACCUUUUUUCCGUGUUACCUUGAUCAUUCAGAGGCUUAUUGUUAUUGAUAACAUAAGAGUGUCUCUGUACAUUGCUGGAAUUUGCAUCUUCGUUUCAUUUUAGUGAGCAUCGAAUUCUCCAUUAGAAAAUUAUAGAUGGUGAAAAAACUUGAGCUGACAUGUAGUGAGGUAAUCUAUGUGUGUUGAGUCCAUGUCAGAUGAAUUUAAAUCCUAUUUACCUCUAGUGUUUCUAAUAUUGUGGCAGAUGUAAGCUUGGGAAUGUCGAAUUAUAUUAUGUGAAGCGGGAGUCAGACACAAAUUGCAAAAAUUGCAACUCAAUUUCCCAAGGUCAGUCAUCACCAAGCCCUUUGUUUUAACUGAAUAAUCAUUAUUCCUCUGAGCUUACUUUCCCAACUUUAACAAGUUUCAAUUAACUGCUGUCUGAUACUGUGCUUGUGGCAUCCAGAGGUCUUGAAAAAAAGUGUAAUCCAGUUUUACUAAUUAGGGUGUCUAAGAGCCAAAGGCAGAAAACUUUGUCAGCUUGGUCAAUACUUGUGAUUUUAGUUGAAGACGUAUGUUCAAUGCCACAUCAUUGCAAAUCAAAAUACCGGCCAUCAAAUGGAUAAAUGGAUUGACUGGUGCUGACAUAGGAUUUCAUUUUGUUACCAUUCAGUUAGAUGACUCUCCUGCAUAGCAUCUCUUGAAGCUGGCAAUUGUAGAAAAGAAAUAAAAAUAAAAACCGAAUUUAGGUGUGUGGGAGACUACAUGACAGGUCGACAGUUAGUUGUCUAUGCCUCUGAUUUGAUAUUAGUUUGUGUAACAAAAAUUUAAGAUGACAAAUAUAAUUGGCCUCAUUCAGGAUGGAACUAGUAUAAUGGUCCAAAGUUUGUGCCUGCAACAUUUCAAUUUUUCAUAUACAAUGAAUAUAUGUGCCUGCAGCAUUCCACUUUUUUGCAUCUGAAUAUUAUGUACAUUGAAACUAGAUUACAGUCCUGAUGUUUCUGUUGAAUUUUGCAGUGAUGAUGUGACUUUUGCCCUCAAAGACAGCAAAGACCUACCAUGGUUGGCUAAAUACCUGUAAUCACAAAUAGUGAGAUGCUAAUGCAUUCUUUCCCGCUUGUGUACUACAGAUUUAUUCUUUUUACGUUUUCUAAAACCCUCUCAAUUUUGCAAAUUCAUUUUUAUUUUGGGAUCUAAAUCCCUGUUAUGAUUGUAGAAGUGGGAUUAUAAUUAUCGGCCUUCCACAUGGCAAGGCACUUAUCAGAUGUGCACUUCUUAGUUUUGAUAGGCAUUUAUAUAUGCUUUUUCCUGCAAAUGACUAAACUUUUUAUAUCGAAUUGAUGAGUAUUUAGUUGCAAUGAAUUUUAGCGUCAGUGCAUGGGUGUUUCUUGAAAUAUUUUAACGGAACUUUAUCAUAGAUGUUUCUGAAAAAAUCUACGGGUGGGAACCGUUGCUACAGGGAUAGGGUGGCAAGGAUGGAAAUGUGAGGUGUUUUCUGGUGUUUGGAUUGGGUACUUAUUGUUUAUCUAGAUCUGUUUUAUAGAAACUAGUGUUUAUGUAGCACCUUGCCUGCAUUAGCACCUUUGAUGUCUUCGCUAUAUCCAUGAUACACGGUUUAUCUUUAAAGAAAGGGAAAUAAGACUCCCAUGUCUGUAGUCUUUCAGGUGACAAGGCUUCUGGACCAUCUAAGUAAUGCCAAGAAGCUUUUCUGUAUUUUUGCCAUCACAGCACUUGUGCUGCAUGGAGUCCAAGUUCUACUUGAGCUAACAAUUUCCUGUGUCAUCUGUAUCCAUUAUGAUAUUAGGCACAAUGCAAAUUUCAGAUCCUUUUAUUCUCAAUAAUCUUUAGCACGUCCAAGGAGAGGUUUUGAAUUUGAACCUUUAGAACUUUAGUGUUAGUAUGUGUUUUUGCACUCAAAAUGUCAAUGCAAGUUUGUUUCUAAUCUUUUCCAAAGUGAAACCAUACUUGUCUCGCUGUUAGGAAAUUCUGUUAUGACACUGGGGAUACCCAAGUAAUUAUCAAAGGUCAUUUGUCGAUUCCUAGACCAGAAGAGAAGAUUAGGCUCUGAGUCUGAGCAUGUGGGUACGUGUUCUUGGAGAAGAACAUCUUUCAUUUCUCUAGGUUGAUAGAUAGGCCAAACCUUAGGUAAAAAUUGUCUAGAACACUUUUUGCUGUAUUUAUAGAACGUUCUCCACAACUAAAGAACAAAAUUAGGUCAUCUGCAAUCAUGCAGUGUGAGAUGACAGGCCCAAUCUUUAAAGGCUCCCAUUUUUCUGGCUCGCUGCUUCUGUCAUACAUAUGGAAAUAUACAUAUGGAGAAAUGGACCCCCUUGUCUGAUUACCCUAAAAAGAAUUAUCCAUUUAGAGGGACAGGUUCACGGAUUAUUAAGAAGUCAAAAGGGAUUAAAUCGUAUUUUUAUAUUUUAAGAGAAGGGGAAGUCAAAAGGGAUUAAAUCGUAUUUUUAUAUUUUAAGAGAAGGGGAUAGGUUCAACGAGAUGACUAACAUGUCAAAGGAAUCUAAAUACUUCUUGAACCAAAUAUGUGCACUAAAGGACCCGGUGAAUUUGAAAGGUUAAGAAUUUCUAGUGUUUGAUAUUUGACAAGAAGAUUUGAUCUCCCAACCAACAUCCCAAUAGGAACUUAAAGACCCUCUUGAUGGACACUAGACCAAUGGUUCAAGUUAAGGCCUCAUGAAACUCCAUUCAAAUUUGUCAUAAGCAUUUUCCAGGUUUAUUUUUAAAGCACAAUUUCCUAUUUUUCUCUCUCUUUGCUAGGAAUCUUUUUCAACACUUAACGCAGCAGGAAACACAUUAAACAAAAAUGUAGAACUCAUUUUACUCGUGAUCAUGAGAGUUUUUUUCUAUUCAAUUUGUUGGUACCGUUAGAAGAUUAUUGCUAAGUAUCUUGAGACUCAAUGAGAGCAGAGAUAAGCGAGCUUGGACAUCAUUUAUAGGAGAGCUGACAAUUAUACAAGAAUCCUGGUCUCCCAGAUUUUACACAGAUGUUUAGUAGAACAACUCCAAACUGUUAUCGUUUGAAAAAAAAAAAAAAAAAAAAAAGAACAGCUCCAAACUUGAAAGUGAAAGCAGGCACUAAUGAGGUUGACCAAACCAGUGUAACUCAAGAGCCUACAUUUAUCUUUCCCUUCUCAUUUAGUUUGUUGAUGUUAAUAAACUUAAAUUGUUCAUUUUGUGAAGCAUUUAUUUGUGAAUUACUUAAAAGAUUUAAUAAUAUGUUUGCACCAUAACUAACAAAACUAGAGAUGUAAACGAAUCUAAUUAAACUGAACACCCUAAUGUUCAAUCUUAUUUGAUUAUUUUAUGAGCUUGAAUUUUUGUUCAAAUUUAUUGUCAAACAGAAUUUGAACAAGUUUCUUUAUUGAAUUUGAAUGUUAUCGAAUAAAAGAUGUUAUUCAAAUUUAGUUUGACUAGUCAAUAACCAAUCUCAUACGAAACUCUUAUCAAACCGAACUUGAUUUAAGUCUCGAGUAAUUUGAUUCAUUUUUCAGCUCUAAACAAAACCAACACUCUAUACAUCAAACUAUUAUCUUCACAGCAGAGAUGUACUCCUUUGUCUUCUUAAUACAACGUUAAGAUUAUCUUUUCUAUUUUUACUAUUUUUUUUCAUUUCUUAGUUACGACCUUUUUUCCAAUUAGCUUUGCACUUUUCGUCAACAAACUAUUGACUUAAAUUUCUUGCGCUGUUUGAGCAUAAGCUUUUAUCUGUUCCAGAUUUUGUAAGAAUGGUAGAAUUAAUUUUAGAAUAGUUACAUGUAACCAUAAUGAUUAUUAUAAUAAAAAUGUCAAGAUUAAAAGUCUACAUACACUUUUCGCGUGCGUGUUUACACACACUUGCUAAAACCUACAAUAGUGGGUAUACUUAGUAGUAAUAAAAAGAUAAUACAUGCAUCUGGUAUACAAAUCUGAGUCGUUACUUUUUUAACUUGUCAAACUCCAUCGACUUUUGAAGUCGAAUUUGAAUUCUGUUUCUAAGCAUUUAAUCAACAAUUUGCUAGAAGGUUAACCGUGUAAACAUGUAACGAGGAAGAUGUUGGAAGCCACUCAUACUACAGCAGGAGAAAACUGCAUCAUACAAGAUGUUAAAGCAAUUACCUUUUACGAACUGUAGCAUUUAUCUUCAUGAAGUACAAUUUAAUCCUACUACGAAACACAAAACUGCAAAUUUAUGCAUUUGACAGCUGCAGAUUCAGAGCAGGUUGCUGCGUAAAAGAGGAGGUCCUCUGCCACAAUGGCCGGCCCAGAAUGGCACUUCCAUGGACAGCAAGGUAGGCGGCAU
RNAcentral lists this long non-coding RNA (34937 nucleotides) under Coffea arabica (coffee). RNAcentral's name for it is "long non-coding RNA (CARA_LNC005016)". The stretch from base 24645 to 24722 matches the Rfam family "Small nucleolar RNA snoR28". The record is from RNAcentral. Lineage: Eukaryota; Viridiplantae; Streptophyta; Magnoliopsida; Gentianales; Rubiaceae.